ACGUAGGUGGCGAGCGUUACCCGGAUUUACUGGGCGUAAAGCGCACGCAGGCGGUCUGUCAAGUCGGAUGUGAAAUCCCCGGGCUCAACCUGGGAACUGCAUCCGAAACUGGCAGGCUAGAGUCUUGUAGAGGGGGGUAGAAUUCCAGGUGUAGCGGUGAAAUGCUUAGAUAUCACGAAGAACUCCAAUUGCGAAGGCAGCUCACAGGACUGUAACUGACGCUCAGGUGCGAAAGCGUGGGGAGCAAACA
Molecule: ribosomal RNA, 250 nt
Filed under: uncultured bacterium
Lineage: Bacteria
Description: partial 16S ribosomal RNA
Rfam family: Bacterial small subunit ribosomal RNA
Source: RNAcentral